AUAAGACGUAAGGUAGUUCGGGCCUGCCCGGUGAUUUUUGAAAAAUUUAACGGCCGCAACGAGAGUUGUGCUAAGGUAGCGCGAUAAUUUGUCUCUUAAUUGGAGAAUGGUAUGAAUGGUUUGACGUGGACUAACUGUCUCCAAGAAAUAAAGUGAAGUUUCCAUUUGAGUGAAAAGGCUUAAAUUUUUGUAAAAGACGAGAAGACCCUGUCGAGCUUAAUUAGAGUGUUUAAUCAAAUAAUUUUUGGUUGAAGUUCUUGAAUCUUUAUUGGGGCAAUAUUGGUUUAUAAAACAGUCAAAUGUUAAAUGAAGAUCCUUUUUGAGAGAAACUAGCAAGAGCUACCGCAGGGAUAACAGCGUUAUCCUUUUUGGGAGAUCGAAUUGAGGAAAGGGUUUGCGACCUCGAUGUUGGAUUAUGGAAACUUUACGGUGUAGCAGCUGUAAGGGNAAAACGUU
RNAcentral lists this ribosomal RNA (456 nucleotides) under Timoclea subnodulosa. Its description in RNAcentral is "partial 16S ribosomal RNA". It matches the Rfam family "Bacterial large subunit ribosomal RNA", at positions 1836 to 2581 of the family's 2925-position model. The record is from RNAcentral. Lineage: Eukaryota; Metazoa; Mollusca; Bivalvia; Venerida; Veneridae.